AUACGGAGGGUGCAAGCGUUAAUCGGAAUUACUGGGCGUAAAGCGCACGCAGGCGGUUUGUUAAGUCAGAUGUGAAAUCCCCGGGCUCAACCUGGGAACUGCAUUUGAAACUGGCAAGCUUGAGUCUCGUAGAGGGGGGUAGAAUUCCCGGGGGAGCGGUGAAAUGCGUAGAGAUCUGGAGGAAUACCGGUGGCGAAGGCGGCCCCCUGGACGAAGACUGACGCUCAGGUGCGAAAGCGUGGGGAGCAAACAGGAUUAGAUACCCUGGUAGUCCACGCCGUAAACGAUGUCGACUUGGAGGUUGUGCCCUUGAGGCGUGGCUUCCGGAGCUAACGCGUUAAGUCGACCACCUGGGGAGUACGGCCGCAAGGUUAAAACUCAAAUGAAUUGACGGGG
Molecule: ribosomal RNA, 396 nt
Filed under: uncultured bacterium
Lineage: Bacteria
Description: partial 16S ribosomal RNA
Rfam family: Bacterial small subunit ribosomal RNA
Source: RNAcentral